AACGCGAAGAACCUUACCUGGCCUUGACAUGUGCGUAGUAGAAGGGUGAAAGCCUGACGAGGUAGCAAUACCAGCGUACACAGGUGCUGCAUGGCUGUCGUCAGCUCGUGUCGUGAGAUGUUGGGUUAAGUCCCGCAACGAGCGCAACCCUUGUGUCCUGUUGCCACCCCGGCGAGAGUCGGGAGCACUCUGGACAGACUGCCUCGCUUAAACGAGGAGGAAGGUGGGGAUGACGUCAAGUCAGUAUGGCCCUUACGGCCAGGGCUGCACACGUACUACAAUGCCCGGCACAAAGGGAAGCAAGACCGCAAGGUGGAGCAAAUCCCCGAAAACCGGGCCCAGUUCAGAUUGUCGUCUGCAACUCGACGGCAUGAAGUUGGAAUCGCUAGUAAUGGCGCAUCAGCUACGGCGCCGUGAAUACGUUCCCGGGCCUUGUA
Molecule: ribosomal RNA, 437 nt
Filed under: uncultured Verrucomicrobiota bacterium
Lineage: Bacteria; Pseudomonadati; Verrucomicrobiota
Description: bacterial SSU rRNA
Rfam family: Bacterial small subunit ribosomal RNA
Source: RNAcentral